UGGCACUGCACUGUGAUGAGUGUAGCCUAUUAGUAUUAGUACAGCCAAAGUGAAUAGGCGUACUAUAGUACUAUUACAACUAUUGAAAGAUAUUUACCUAUAUUAACAAGGAAGCAGGCCCGAUGGACAUUUAUUUUCAGCUGCUGCCACCAGACAGAAUGACACCUUGAAUUGCAGCUUCACCUUAGACGGGAAGGCCAAGAGGCAGCUUUGAGUUGCAAGACCCAGAGUGCUUGACUUCCAGGAGGAGGCGCUGAGCGCAGGCGGCCUGCUUCAUGACGCACUCGCUGCGGUACGUGGUGUUAUCGCUGGCGCACACCGCCUGGUCUGAGCGGCUGUCCGCGCACGCCUCGCCGCACGCCGAGCAGCGGCCUCGGCUCAUACGCGCGUCCCACAGGCACUUCUUCCCCGCGCUGCAGCGAAUGUCGUCGCACGACUUGGCCUCUGUGGCGAAAACAAGACAACAUUUACCUCCAGCUGGUAACACACGCAGGCC
Conger conger (European conger) is the source of this 496-nucleotide long non-coding RNA. RefSeq lists it as uncharacterized. NCBI's taxonomy places the organism in Eukaryota, Metazoa, Chordata, Actinopteri, Anguilliformes, Congridae. The transcript is spliced from 3 exons. The record is from RefSeq and is a predicted model, not a curated record.